Monodelphis domestica (gray short-tailed opossum) is the source of this 6120-nucleotide long non-coding RNA. RefSeq lists it as uncharacterized. Lineage: Eukaryota; Metazoa; Chordata; Mammalia; Didelphimorphia; Didelphidae. The record is from RefSeq and is a predicted model, not a curated record.
CCUCCCCUCGACUUAAGGAAGUGAAGAAAGGAUGGAAGUUAUAGAGGAAAGACAAUUGCGGAGACCUCGGCAGCGCGCAGUGUCUUUCUAGACGGUUAGUGACGUUCGUAAGCACGAGGUAGGGAUGUGGAGUCCCUCGGAAGCCCUCCCUAAGCCACCAGAAGGAUCCCAAACCAGAAAGGGCGCCGCACUCCUCAGAGCUCAGGCGUGCACGGGCUGGUCCGAGAAGACCCUUCCUGACGACCACCACCAGAUGUCUAAAAAUGGCGCUCUUAUUCCACUCUGAGAUCUACACAUCUCACGGACAGACAGCGUCCCCCAACCGCAGCUCUUCCAUGAAACCAAUAAAACUCCGUCGUUUGUUAUUGGGGGAGAAACCUUUUACGGGAAACUGCCUUCUGGCCAUCGACCUUGCUGAGAAACCUCUGAUUUUAUUGGGAUGCUUGGUGAUUCAGAGAGCCCUAAUGGCCCAGCCAUUUCCUGGAGAUCUGCCCCCUGCCCCCAGCUGGGAGCUACCUAGUCAAUAGAAGACCUCUUCCAGGCAGAUGGAGAAGACUUCGCAAGUCAGCAGCCUCCUGGUGUGCCGAAGCACCCUCUUUGUUCUCCUCAGGCGCUGGCUAAGGAAUAGAAAGGUUCAUCGGUGGACCUGAAGAGACACACCACAUGUUGUGGGGGGCGAGGUGCACCCCUGGGGUUCAGGAAGGGCACCUCUGGCAAGAAUGCAAGACUCUGAAACUUUGCUUAAAAAAUUUCUAAUAAAAAAGUUGGCAGUUAUUCUAACCUGAGAACCAGAGAAGUCCGAAAGCAAGGAAAUGUGCAAGAACGACUAUUACGCGGGAGAUUUUCGUGGAAGAAGGAAACGUUUGCUGCAGUCUGCUGUGGCUGCCCAGGACUUGAAAGACGGGCUAUACUACGGGAAAUGGGAGCGAUUCUGGGGAGACCAGAGUGCCUGACUUCCGGCUGAGGAGGAGCACCCCCCGGACGCUAAGCAGGUGUCCACGCACCAAGCCCUCGCUCUCCUUCCUGCCUGGCAAACCAGAGGGCCACUCUCAAGCUGUCCUGGACAGACUCCAUUUGGGCAGUAGUGUAAUCCCAUGGCCAAAAGGGGGGUGACAACCUGCUUUUGAGAAACUCUAAAUUGAUCCCCAUCCCAGGCUGAACCCUAAACCUCCAGGCACCCCCAGAGCGGGUUAGCAGAUACCGUCACGUCUUCAGCUAGACCCUGUAGGCUUUCUUAGCUUCUCCUUUUGUGGCUAGGAGAUGCGUGGCACCUCGGCUUCUGGGUCUGUUUAGAUUGCCUAGAGACAGGCCUGAGACCUCCCACUUCUCCAGAACUCUCCAGAAGCACGAGGCAUUCUGUAGUCCAGUGCAAGUCCCAGGACUGGCGUUCGUGGAGCUUCCCGGAUGAGUCUUUCUGCCUCGAUGGAAGGCGCUUAUUCCAACUACUUCGGUGGUUCUGUAUUUUAGGCUGACAACAUGGACAUACAUGCACGUGGGCGUUCCACUGGCAGCCCACAUUCAACGUCUCGUGUCUUCCAACAGGCUCCUAUUCCAAGCGUUCCUACUUCUGGUAAUGGCGACACUGUCCCUCCAGUAACUCAAACUUCCCUUUCAAAGCCCGAGAAAGGAGAAGCCAUCGCGGAUCAGAGGAGGUCGCGUCCUGCCUGGGGAGACAACAUCUGAAGGAGGGAGGGCUCCUUUUCACGCUCAGUUCAUGGAGACUGAUGUGAGGUCAGGAGCCGGCCAGCACUGGACAAAGCUGAGGGGGAGGUUGAGGAAGGAUGGACACUGGGGAAAGUGCCGAAAAGCUAAGACUUUCUAUUCAGUUGUCAGUUAUAAAAAGAAUAAAAGCCCAAAGAGGAUGGCAAACAAAAUCAGAAUGUUACGGGGGUUUGAGGCAUGACAUGCAUACACACACAUAUAAAGGUUUAGGCAUAUGUCUUUUUUUUUCUUGGCUAAAAUAUGCUUGAAAGAAGCAAUCCGAGGGGAAAGAAAAUAGUUUCUUUUUCAAAUACAUUCCCUUCCAUGCCCUCGUCCACAUUCUGGGGGCAUAAGCAAAACCAUAAGAAAGAAAAUGCCUUUGCUUCAUAAUAGCUAUCAACAACCCCCUGUCUCGUUCUUGCACAAAUACUUGGUCUGUCUGUUUGCAGGGAAGGCGUGGGGGAAGCUCGGUAUAUCCCAGUGUCUGAGGGACACCAAUAAGCCAUCAUUUUCGCCAUGACUUUGAAGGUCAUACUAAUCCCUUGACUAAAGGACCAUGGAUACCCAUAUUGUACAAAGGUCUCGUCUUGAAUAAAAUCAUGCUCUUUCUAGAAGCAUAAUGGCACCUAUGUAUUUUCAAUCUAGCAGGCAGGAAAUAUGAAAUCAUAUGUUUAUAGAACAACUUUUACACAGGACUGGGGAAAAAAGGUAAUACUGGCAACUGGGAUGUAGUUAUAAUUUGUAUCGUUUUUUGUUAGAUCCAGAAAGAACAUUAGAUUCUAGUUCAAUGCAAAGAAGUUUCUCUAAAGAGGAGAAUGAUGAGUGAGAGAGAUAUCCAACACUAGUGAUCUGUCAAUUGAUGUCUGCUAUUUUUUCUCCUUAUUCAAUCUUUGAUCACAGGUUCUUUAAUAAAUACCUUUUCUUUUAAGCCUUUUUACCCUCUUCAGAAUUGAAUUUUAUUUUACUUUUAAUGAUAAUUUCCUUAAAUCCCCCUUUCCUUACAAUCUCCUCUCUUGUUUUCUUCUGUUUCCUUGCCCCCUCCCCCAUUUCUACAUCUAUAUAUAUUCUUCUGUAUUCAGCAUUUCCUUUGUCUGAUUUCAAAUGAGAGUGAGAUUCAUGUGAUAUCUGCUUACCCCGCCACAUUUUCAUGUUGAAAUAGUCUCAUGUACCUCUUUCUUGGCCAAUUCUUUACUUGUAUAGUUGAUAACCUUCCUGUGAGCUUUCAUUUUAGAAUACUGGGAGGAGAUUGGUGCAUUCUUCCUAGUUCUACUUUUCCCUUUGGUUUGUAUAGGUUAAAUUUAGUGGUUGGACUUAAAUUAUAUGCAAUAACAUGAUUGCCAAAAUUACUAUAUCUCAAGUCAGAAGUUUAUUUACCAAAGUAGAGGGGAAGCAAUAAAAUAGAGGAAUGUGAAAGAGGUUAGAGAAAAUAGUACAGACUAGUCCUCAGCCAGGAGAGUGGGUAGUUCCAAGAUGGAAGCUAGUCUCUUAGGAAACUAGGAAAGGAGUCAGCCAUUUUCACUCACCAAAUGUAGUCCAGGAGUCAGAAUCUAAAUUGAAUCCAAGCUCCAAGCCCAUGAUCCAAGCUGCAGUCUCCAACAAAACUCCCUCAAAAACUCUCUUCAGUCAGAAAAUUAUCUCUCCAGAAGGCAGUCUCUUCAGACUACCUUCUCCAAGACCAUCUCCUCAGACUGAGUUCAGGGCUUGCUUUUAUGGCAAUAAUUUAAAAGUUUCUGGCUGUUUCAGUUAGAAAAAAGGGUGGAGCUCUCCAAGCAUCUUGCUGGCUUCUCACCUAGCACUAAGUAGGGUGGGAAUUCACUAAGUGGUUUGCAUGAGCUCCUCCAUCUAGUUCAAGCUUGUGUUGAUUCAAUCAAAUAGUAGACAAAAGAGAGUUAAUCCUGUCUUCACAAUUUAGUGAGGUAUUUAAGUUAGUAUUAACCAAAGUUUUAACUCCAACUAGACAAAGAGAAUAAAGAAUUCCUUUUUCAUAAGUGUAAACUCAAAAUCGACAAAGAGAACCAAGAAUUUCCUUUCACAGGUUUUGGUUGGUUUGGGCGGUUUUCAUUUCUAGAUUUCUAAAUUUCCUGGAUUUUUUACUGGUCAUAUUUUUAGACAGUCUGAUGAUUUCUUAGAUUAUCUCUCCUUGAUCUCUGUUACAGGUCAGUUUUUACUUUAUUUUUUAGGGAAUUACUUAUGUUUUCCUCUAUUUUUCCAUCAUUUCAUUUGUUUUCUUUCUUAUUAUCUCAUGGAGUGAUUUAUUUCUAUUUGGUUCAUUCAAAUUUUCAGGGAAUCUGGUAACUGAAAAAUCCUAUCCCAAGUUAUUUGUUCUUCCAAUUCUUUUCUCUAGAGCUAUCACUUAAUUUAUAUUAUAAUUUCAAAACUCUUUAUUUCCCCUAGGAAUUCUGUUUGACAUUGUGGCUAUGUUUUUGUUUGGGGUUUUCCUUUGUAGAUCUAGAGAAGCUGUCUUAAGUUGGUGUCUUGAGCAUCCCUAUAUCUACAAUAUAUUUUUUUAAAACCCUUUACCUUCCAUCUUGGAAUCAGUACUGUGUAUUGGUUCCAAAGCAGAAGAAUGGUAAGGUCUAGGCAAUGGGGAUCAAGUGACUUGCCCAGGGUCACACAGCUAGGAAGUGGCUGCGUCCAGAUUGGAACCCAGGACCUCCCAUCUCUAGGCCUGGCUCUCAAUCCACUGAGCCACCCAGCUGCCCCCUCUACAAUAUUUUUUAAAAAAAGAAAUGGUGUUUCUUUUUUUACUCCAAUCUUAUUUCUUGAAUUGGGACUUUGUGUCAGUGUCAAACUCUGCACAUAACCAUAAGGAAUGGGGUUAAGUAUUGCUCUAUGAUAUCUAAUGUCCUAGAAAAUAUGCUUUUUACAGACCUCAGUAGCAGUUUAGACCAGCUUUGCAUCAUCUGACCCUGGACUGUAGUCAGAGCCACAUAGCUUCAGGCUCCAGGUGUCCCUGGCUCUCUCUUGAUCCUCAUCCUGGAAGCUUUCCAUCCCCUAAACUCCUGGAGCCAGGCUUUUCUGACUUGACCUCUUCUCUAGUGUCUGUAGGUUUCUAGCUAUCUCUUUCCACUUUAAUCUGGAUUGAAAAUACACAUAAUGAAUUUUUUUCUUGGAUUUCUUAAUCAUUACUCAGACUGGUGUUCUUUUUUCAACCAUGAUGGAGUAAUUUUUCAUGGCUCAGAUGCUCUAUUCUAAAUUACUUUGCUAUCAUAGCUAGACUGGAUAGCCUCUGAGGUUCCUUAAUAAUAAUAACAUUCUUAAAUAGAGAUAACUUGAAGUCACAUAAUAAAAUCAUUAAAGAGAUCAAAUUACAGAAGCUGACACAGAGAUUCUUCCUUUAAAUCAAACUGUUGGCUUUCUAUUAGCUGGUUAGAAAAUUCAGAAGAGUCAAGAACAAGCCGUGGAAUAAAUGAUCACUUGACCUUCUCUCCCCUUUCCCAUUUUAAUGGAAAAACAAACAGAAAGCUAAUGUUCCAAUAUAAACACGGGUUUUGAAUGUGCUUCUGUUUAGUAUAUUCAUAAAAGAACGUGCAGAUCAUAAGUGAGCAUCAUACUCAACUUCUGCCAAGUUUUGUUGAAAGUCGGAUGCAUUUAUAUUCCGAUACGGAAGGGAUUAAAAAUAUGAUGACGGCUUAUCUUUGCUUUAUAUGCCUAUCAAUAAAACUAUCUGGAUCAAAAGAGAUAGGAAGAUUCGUCACUUUCUUAGCAUAAUUCUAACAAUUUUCAAAAUGGUCGGAACUCCCCAAACAGAGUCUGUCUCCACAGUGUUGCAAUACUAUUUCUCGUGUGUCAUUUGAAACUGUGGUAAUCAAACGGACUAUUCUUUCACAUGAUGCUUUUGAAAAGCGUUUUCCCCACAUCCUUCAGUCUCUUUUCUUUGGGUUUAUAAAUGGGUUAGUUGCCUAUGACUUAGAUACCAGACACUUAUUAUGGCACGUUAUUCCUUGGCUAAAUGGUUCCCUUUUCUUAGUUGGCAUUAAUUUUGUUCAUGCAAAAGACCUUGAGUUUCAUGUAAUCAAAAUUAGCUACAGGUUUUGUCUUUUGUGUUGGUUUGAACAUCACAUUUGUUCGAGAAUUCACCCACUAACCGUAGCUUUGGAAGGAACCUAAUCUAGUUCUCUUUUAUUAGUUUUCUCUAUAUUUAAUAUUCAAGUCAUAUGUUUAUUUCGAGCUUUUUAUGGCAUGAGGAAUAAUAGGUCCAAAGCCAAUUUCUGCCAGACAUUUCUAGUUUCCCCAGCAAUUCUCAUCAAAGUGGAAGUUUUGUGAAGGUAAUUCCUGUCUUCAGAUCUAUUAAAGGCUAAAUUAUUGAGUUCAAUUACUUCUGAUUCUUUUCUACAGACCUGUUUACAAUGUUUUUAAACCAAAGAUUUUGAUGACGACUGCUUGAUUAUAUUCCGUGAAGCAUGGAAGUGCUACGCU